RNAcentral lists this long non-coding RNA (371 nucleotides) under Monodelphis domestica (gray short-tailed opossum). RNAcentral's name for it is "lncRNA (ENSMODG00000039153.1)". The record is from RNAcentral. Lineage: Eukaryota; Metazoa; Chordata; Mammalia; Didelphimorphia; Didelphidae.
CCACUGGGUAAGUACUCUCCUGGGUAAGUUUGUAUUGGGGUCAAGCACCCUGAGCCACAGAGUUAGAGACCAGCUUCUCAUCAUUGUCUCAGUCUCUCCUCCAGGCUCUCCCCCAUCCCACCUGAUUUCAAGUUGUUCUUUCUUAUUGUAGAAUGGAUGGGAGCUCUAGGUAUAUAGGACGCAGACUUGAAUCUACAGCUGAGACCUCAUCAGAUCAGAAAAAGCCUUGUCCCCAUUUCCUGCCCUCCCUCCAGAGACCCUGCUUUUGUGGCUGCAUCCUGAGAAGCAAGGCCAUGCUCCAUGAACGGACCCCCAUAUGCCCUCCAACCUAUCCCUGCAGUUUCUCCAAAGCUUCCCCCCAGGACCACUGA